GACCCAGUAGUGAAUGGAUCAUGCCUGCUUUCUUUGUACAUGGCAGGCAGGAUGUCAGCAGGAGCCUCGGUUCGAUUCCGGGCUGGGUCA
Mycena epipterygia is the source of this 90-nucleotide non-coding RNA. The record is from the annotation of a GenBank genome assembly. Lineage: Eukaryota; Fungi; Basidiomycota; Agaricomycetes; Agaricales; Mycenaceae.